Molecule: transfer RNA, 74 nt
Filed under: Treponema sp.
Lineage: Bacteria; Pseudomonadati; Spirochaetota; Spirochaetia; Treponematales; Treponemataceae
Also listed under: 2 other names
Description: tRNA-Ala
Rfam family: tRNA
About the family: Transfer RNA (tRNA) molecules are approximately 80 nucleotides in length. Their secondary structure includes four short double-helical elements and three loops (D, anti-codon, and T loops).
Source: RNAcentral
GGGGGUGUAGCUCAGUUGGCUAGAGCGCUUGAAUGGCAUUCACGAGGUCAGGGGUUCAAUUCCCCUCACCUCCA